RNAcentral lists this ribosomal RNA (619 nucleotides) under Microbacterium flavum. Its description in RNAcentral is "bacterial SSU rRNA". It matches the Rfam family "Bacterial small subunit ribosomal RNA", at positions 82 to 715 of the family's 1533-position model. The record is from RNAcentral. Lineage: Bacteria; Bacillati; Actinomycetota; Actinomycetes; Micrococcales; Microbacteriaceae.
CUCUNGUGGAUCAGUGGCGAACGGGUGAGUAACACGUGAGCAAUCUGCCCCUGACUCUGGGAUAAGCGCUGGAAACGGCGUCUAAUACCGGAUACGAGCUGCGAAGGCAUCUUCAGCAGUUGGAAAGAAUUUCGGUCAGGGAUGAGCUCGCGGCCUAUCAGCUUGUUGGUGAGGUAAUGGCUCACCAAGGCGUCGACGGGUAGCCGGCCUGAGAGGGUGACCGGCCACACUGGGACUGAGACACGGCCCAGACUCCUACGGGAGGCAGCAGUGGGGAAUAUUGCACAAUGGGCGGAAGCCUGAUGCAGCAACGCCGCGUGAGGGAUGACGGCCUUCGGGUUGUAAACCUCUUUUAGCAGGGAAGAAGCGAAAGUGACGGUACCUGCAGAAAAAGCGCCGGCUAACUACGUGCCAGCAGCCGCGGUAAUACGUAGGGCGCAAGCGUUAUCCGGAAUUAUUGGGCGUAAAGAGCUCGUAGGCGGUCUGUCGCGUCUGCUGUGAAAUCCCGAGGCUCAACCUCGGGUCUGCAGUGGGUACGGGCAGACUAGAGUGCGGUAGGGGAGAUUGGAAUUCCUGGUGUAGCGGUGGAAUGCGCAGAUAUCAGGAGGAACACCGAUGG